RNAcentral lists this transfer RNA (72 nucleotides) under Camelus bactrianus (Bactrian camel). It matches the Rfam family "tRNA". From Rfam's summary of the family: Transfer RNA (tRNA) molecules are approximately 80 nucleotides in length. RNAcentral also lists the same sequence under 1 other name. Lineage: Eukaryota; Metazoa; Chordata; Mammalia; Artiodactyla; Camelidae. The record is from Rfam by way of RNAcentral.
GGAGGUUAUAUUCAGUGGUAGAGCACAUGCUUAGCAUGCACAAGGUCCUGGGUUCAAUCCCCAGUACCUCCA